UUAUUCUUCAAGUAGUCAGCAGAAUUUGAUAAUUGGAGGAGAUUUAAAUUGUGUAUUAGAUCAAUACUUGGAUAAAUCUUCACGUCAAAGUAAAAGUACCUCAAAAUCAAAAUCGAGUGAACGUUUAAACACGUAUAUAAAUAAUACAAACAU
Long non-coding RNA from Amblyraja radiata (thorny skate), 153 nucleotides. RefSeq lists it as uncharacterized. NCBI's taxonomy places the organism in Eukaryota, Metazoa, Chordata, Chondrichthyes, Rajiformes, Rajidae. The transcript is spliced from 3 exons. The record is from RefSeq and is a predicted model, not a curated record.